RNAcentral lists this transfer RNA (72 nucleotides) under Terrestrivirus sp. Its description in RNAcentral is "tRNA-Lys". Lineage: Varidnaviria; Bamfordvirae; Nucleocytoviricota; Megaviricetes; Imitervirales; Mimiviridae. The record is from RNAcentral.
GGCUACUGAAGGGAUUUGAACCCUUAUACACUAAGUUAAGAGCUUGGGACUUUACCAUUAAGAUACAGUAGC